GGGGUUAUGGCUCAGUGGUAGAGUGCUCACCUAGCAUAUGUGAGGCACUGGGUUCGAGCCUCAGUACCACA
RNAcentral lists this transfer RNA (71 nucleotides) under Marmota monax (woodchuck). Its description in RNAcentral is "tRNA.Ala". The record is from RNAcentral. Lineage: Eukaryota; Metazoa; Chordata; Mammalia; Rodentia; Sciuridae.